UUAUUAGUAUUUUAAGACAAUUGAAAUCAUUUGUUGUAUAGUACUACAAGUCCAUCAUCGCAAUUUGUAUCGACUUUUAAAGUUGUACUUUGUAAAAAGAAAGUUUAUUAUUUUGAAAAUAGAUAUUCAUGAACCAUACGCACCAAAUUAAUAUCUAGAGAAAAGUUAGAAACCGUGAUCACACAUGUACUUUGAUGAGGGAGAUUAAAGCAUAUAUACUAGUUAAUUAAUUUUCUAAUUGAAAACUUUAACUAUGAAACUAUGGAACAUAACAAAGUGAUAUUGUUGCAUUUUUUCACUUUUAUAAAGGGUGCAAUUUAGUGACGAGGCACAAGCAUAAUGACAACAGUAUAGUGUAACAUUUAUUCCAGAAACCUUUCAGAAAAAGGAAAAAAAAAAAAAAAACUAUUCCAGAACUGCCCACAAAUUAAACUACCAAAUUCAAUAAAUAGUCUUGUCCUAAACAAAGGUUCAAAAUAAUACUAAAAACAAUAAUAAAUACAGCCAGCAAGAGAAAUAAAUAACUCAAGUCUUAAGAAAGAACGCACGGUCAUAAUUGAAGGCCAAUGAAACAUCCACUACAUCAUUUAGGGUUGACACUAUACUAUCCAUCCCCAAUCAAACCAAAAGAGAAUCAUAAAACCAGCUAAAGGUACAAACAACCAUGAUUGUAAAUAUAUAUACGGUGAGGUUUAAGUAAAAACCACUAAACUAAAUAGGAAUAAAGAAUCAUUUUCAGUUAUUUUAUCAUUAAGAUCAAUGUGGAUGCAUUAUUUUAUUGAAUGAAUAUAAAUUUAUUAUUUUUUACAAAGGAUGCAUUAAUUAUAAUGGCUAUCGCGAAAAUAAAGCUAUCACCUAUAAUGCACGGAUUCGCCGAAAAUCAACCCCGUGCAGUAUCCGAUUCGCGCGGGGGGCGGGUGCGGGCGCGAUUCGCGUGGGAUUCGCACACCUGGCGAAUCCCCCCCCAAAAAAAAAAAUCGGAUUCGCGAAUCGGGAGUUGUUGGCUGGCAGGAGGCGAGGCGGCAUGAUCCGAGACGGUUGAGCAGGGCGGCGGGGCCGAAGGGCAGGCGCCGCUGAGCGGGGCCGAAGAGCAGUAGCAACGGCGGCCCUUCUUGGCCGUCUGCUGUCAAAAACGCGUGGGAGAGAGAGAGGGAGGCGGAAUCGGGCUUCUGAAGGGUUCGGGGCGGGCGGCGGCGGCGGCGUCAGUGGAGCCGGUGAGCAUUUGGACGACUUGCUUGAAGGAGGAGGUGUCGGAUUGCAGGCGUGGGUGCGUGAACAGAGAGAGAGAGAAACAGAUCUGAGGUUAUUAUGUAUGCAUAUUUUUCGGUUCAAUUUCUUCCGAAUGGGAGUGAGAGAGAGAAACAGAUCUUCCGAAUGAGAGAGAGAGAGAGAAACAGAUCUGAGAAACAGAUCUGAGAGAGAGAGAAACAGAAAAAAUCAAGAGUUGCUAAUUCGGUUCAAUUUCUUCCGAAUGGGAGUGAUUUUCGGUUUCCUUCGGAUCUUUCCAGAUUUACCUUAUGGGUAAAUCUCUCAUUUACCCCUUUCUUAUUUUUUAAUGGUUUUUUAGUAAUGUUAUUCGAUUAAAAUAUUGGUGAUGUGAAUUAAUUGGAACCGCU
Molecule: long non-coding RNA, 1616 nt
Filed under: Salvia miltiorrhiza (redroot sage)
Lineage: Eukaryota; Viridiplantae; Streptophyta; Magnoliopsida; Lamiales; Lamiaceae
Description: long non-coding RNA (SMIL_LNC004255)
Source: RNAcentral